GAUGAACGCUGACAGAAUGCUUAACACAUGCCAGUCAUUGGCGAAGCUGCGCUUGCGCAGUCUAGCCAAGGCGGACGGGUGAGUAACGCGUAAGGAACUUGCCCUGCAGACAGGGAUAACAGACGGAAACGACUGAUAACACCUGGUAUUGUCAGGCUGGCGCAUGCCGGCCUGAUGAAAGGAGACGCUGCAGGAGAGCCUUGCGUCCUAUUAGCUAGUUGGUGGGGUAACGGCCCACCAAGGCGAUGAUAGGUAGCCGGCCUGAGAGGGUGAACGGCCACAAGGGGACUGAGAUACGGCCCUUACUCCUACGGGAGGCAGCAGUGGGGAAUAUUGGACAAUGGGGGCAACCCUGAUACAGCAAUUCUGUGUGCACGAAGAAGGUUUUCGGAGUGUAAAGUGCUUUCAGAAGGGAAGAAGAAAGUGACGGUACCUGCAGAAGAAGCGACGGCUAAAUACGUG
This 462-nucleotide ribosomal RNA is filed under the name uncultured bacterium. Its description in RNAcentral is "partial 16S ribosomal RNA". It matches the Rfam family "Bacterial small subunit ribosomal RNA", at positions 28 to 507 of the family's 1533-position model. The record is from RNAcentral.